RNAcentral lists this non-coding RNA (58 nucleotides) under unclassified sequences. RNAcentral's name for it is "L31-Actinobacteria ribosomal protein leader". It matches the Rfam family "L31-Actinobacteria ribosomal protein leader". The record is from RNAcentral.
UUGGUUCCGGUUCACCCCGCUGACGUCGUGCCGACGCGCGACCGGGGACCCGGCGGCC